GUUGCUGCAAUACAUAGUGCAUAAAACUGAUUGCCAUCUUUUUGUAUUGUAAGGCUAAGGACGCAGCAAAAAGUUAUACUAAAAUGCCAAAAGUUCAGUAUAAAUAAAAACCUCGAGACACUUGGCUUCGCGAUCCGUUGUUCAAGGAUUGGAUGUCAAUUUAUCCAAAUGACGCUAAUAAGUGUUAUUGCAGAUAUUGCAAAUCCAGUAUAGUUUCAAAGCUGUACGAUUUGCAGGGACAUGCCAAAACCAAGAAGCAUAAGGCGGCAACGAGUUGCUUUACUCAAAAAAAUAAAAUUGUGUUUACACCAAAUGUGCUUCCUAAAACGAAGCAAAGCAGCAGCCUUAUGUUUGUUUAUUGCAUCCCAUUCUGCUAUUUCACCCAUCGAUCACAUGGGUAUAUUGUGCGCCACAAAAUUUGAUGGCGACAAAGUCAAAGUGGAAAUAGAGAUUCGAUUUAGGUGCACGGAGUUUAUCAUUUCACUUAUAGAUGAGCUUAAACAGAGAUUACCCAAAAACUUCCAAAUUCUUCAGCAAAUCGACAUUUUUUC
RNAcentral lists this small RNA (551 nucleotides) under Drosophila yakuba. RNAcentral's name for it is "GE27827". The record is from RNAcentral. Lineage: Eukaryota; Metazoa; Arthropoda; Insecta; Diptera; Drosophilidae.